This 547-nucleotide ribosomal RNA is filed under the name uncultured bacterium. RNAcentral describes it as "bacterial SSU rRNA". It matches the Rfam family "Bacterial small subunit ribosomal RNA", at positions 256 to 802 of the family's 1533-position model. The record is from RNAcentral.
GGUAACGGCUCACCAUGGCGACGAUAGGUAGGGGGCCUGAGAGGGUUGUCCCCCACACUGGUACUGAGACACGGACCAGACUCCUACGGGAGGCAGCAGUGAGGAAUAUUGCGCAAUGGAGGAAACUCUGACGCAGCCAUGCCGCGUGAAGGAAGAAUGUCCUACGGAUUGUAAACUUCUUUUAUUUGGGAAGAAACCUUUCUACGUGUAGAAAGCUGACGGUACCGAACGAAUAAGGACCGGCUAACUCCGUGCCAGCAGCCGCGGUAAUACGGAGGGUCCGAGCGUUAUCCGGAAUCAUUGGGUUUAAAGGGUUCGCAGGCGGUUCAUUAAGUCAGUGGGGAAAUCUCUCGGCUCACUCGAGAAACUGCCAUUGAUACUGAUGGACUUGAAUAUAGUUGGAGUAGGCGGAAUGUGUAGUGUAGCGGUGAAAUGCUUAGAUAUUACUCAGAACACCGAUAGCGAAGCAGCUUACUAAACUAUUAUUGACGCUCAUGAACGAAAGCGUGGGAGCGAACAGGAUUAGAUACCCUGGUAGUCCACGCCG